ACACCACACACCUGCUCGUCUUUACGCAGGUGUUUUCAAUCAGCUGAUGACCGUUGAUUGCUUCCUCCUGCCCCUCUUCUUAUUUAAUCUCCUCCAACCAACAGUUCCGUGAUGUUACUUUGAAGAGAAGCUGCACGAGCCGUGGAACGAAAAAAAAAGACGCAAACAAAGUGUCGCUGCUUAACUACUGAAACUGUUCCGGGAGGAGGGAAGUUAUGGCGGUAAAUGCACCAAUCGCCCUAAAACCUCAAAAAAGAACGAGUAAACUUUAAAAAAAGAAGAGAAAAAAAAAGAAAACUACCGCGACGUGACGUCAGACGCCGAAAAGGUGGCCGCGUGCAUCAGCUCCAGGGUGGCGUGUUCGACCUGGUCCAGAUUGAUGGCCCGUCCAGAAUGGAACAACCUGCUUCCUGCUCACGGAGACCUGGUCGGACCCGCCAUAUACAAAAGCCUGAGGCUGUCAAAAAAAGAUUGAUCUUCAUGAAGAUCGUCAAAUAGUAAGGUGUCAUGAUUUAAUUCUGGGUGGCCGCUGUGUCCCCACUCUUUCUUGGCCGCUGUGCCUACAUCUAUCUGCAUUGUCCAACAUGGCCACGUUCUUUCUAUUCUCCUGCUUUCCGUCUCUCAAAUAGCUCAGGGUUGUACAUGGAGCAUUGGCCACAGGUUGGUUUUGUAUGUUCCUGUCCACUUUAUUGGGUGGUCUGAUCUGGUCCUUGUUGUUUAUAUUUUUGUGGAACUGCUGAGCGAGUGGUUUGAAAGAAUGAGGUGACUGAUGGAGUGUUUUUUUUUUCUUUCUCUUUUCCAUCGUGGCCAUUAAUUUACCGUUAGCCCUAGAACGUUAAAAUAGAUCCUGCUGAUCUACAAACACAGUACCUGGCUUUGGAUGGCAGCCAUGCCAUUGCCUUUGUAUUGCCAUUCGUCCCUUAAUGCAAGUAGGCAAUGAUCGCUAACUGUGCCCGUGCCUUCGUGGCCUACUUGUGUUAUUGUACGUCUGGCCUUGCGCGUAUAGUAAUUUUACAUAGACAAACAUGGGUGCCUUCCGCGUCCAUGCACAGUAAGUGAACUAACCUGUACUUUUCUUCUAGCAUCAAUCAAGAGGAGCACCGACAUCCCUGCAUGUCCAUCUUAAUUAGAUUGCGUUUUAGUUUCGGUAAAAUUUUAAAUGUUAAAUGCAGUUUUUCUUUCUUGCUUGGCCGCUGUGCCAUUACUAUACCUGCUCUCACCUGAAUCUUGAUUCUUCAUGGCCACUGUGUCAUGACUGUACUUGGUCUUGGUGUUCAUGCCAGUCUAUAAUUUCUGAUCUGUUUUUCUACUUAGUAGUGUGUGUGUGUGUGUGUGAUGACUGACUUGGACUGACGUUAAUCUGACCUUUGGACCAAGACUAACACUCCAGUUGACUUUACGGCACCAGGAAGGUGAACAAAAUUUGUGCUGCAAGACCGGCAACAUGCACACCAAUUAGACAACAAGCAAAUUCAAAUUCUUUCAAAAACAGGUAAAAUGUUUACCUUUCAGGUAAGUAUUAAAGGCCUUUGCCACAUGACCUUUAUGGUUAAAUCGUGUCCACUUAAUUUAUAAAGUUAAUUUGCAUCUAAACAUUUACAAUGCCUGACACAAUGGCAUUACAAUAAUAGAAUUUUUUUGUUUUGCGUUACUGAGUGCAAAGGCCUUUAUUUACACACUGACGCAUGCCAAGACCGCCGUCAUGGCAUGUCUGGUCUGUCUGUCCUGUGUGUCUUUCUGUCUGUCUGGUCUCUGUCUCGUAUGUCUGGUCUCCGGCUGUCUCGUGUGUGGUCUCUGUCUUUUUGUCUUGUGUGUCUGGUCUCUGUCUGUCUGUCCUGUGUGUUGGAUUUAGUCACUUUUUUAGUCUCAACUUAAAUGGAUGAUUUUAAAGUUGAUUAGUCUUGAGGUGUCUGAUUUCUGCAGGAAAUUUUGGUACCUCAUUUUGAAAUGGCUUUAAUUUAAAAAUUAAAUUUUGGUCUUGAAUCUCAGUUAAAGUUGCAACUUGGACUGUUGACAAACGUGGAAGCUGAUGAAUCAUGUAGUAAAUGCAUCAAAGUUUACUGUAGCUUGUCUAAAGUUCUUUCAAAGUACUGUAAAAAUGUAGUAAUUGAUUAUGAUGAGGUAUACCAGGUCUUUAUUCUCAACUGGUAAUUGCUUUGAUAAGAUAACUGGUUCCUGAUUUGAUUAUGAAGCUAAACGUUUGAUUUAUAUGCAGAUGUAGUCACAUUAGAUUGUAGGUGUUAUUCAGCCCAUGGAUAAUGUUAUGAUAUACACUAAAUCUGGCAUUUGUUGGCACACUUUUGAUAUCAUUUAAGUCUUAAACUUUACGCACUGCCAUCAGCCUUUGUAGUCGCUAACUGAAAUCGCAUUCAAUAUUAAUGCUGACUUGUCUCACUCUGUCAAGUUUAUUUCCCUCUAAAGGAGUUGAACCUUUUUGUGUUCAUAGUCUUUUUGCGCGUCAUGUUGGGAGGCCUCCCAGCAGGGGAUUUUUAUUUUCCCCUGCAAAACUAUGCGUUACUCGCCUUAGGGAUGCAGGAUUAUCCUGCAUAGUUUCUUUCAAAAAUAAGAUUGUAGGUUGCAGGAUUAGAGCGCGUUUCUUUUCUUUAGGAGGACACAAACCCGGCAGAGAGACAUCUCGGAUUAUUUAAGUGAAAGUUGUGCCAAAUGUUCAAACUUUUUAUCUUUCGAUACGAUGACUUGAACUAAAACUUUUAUUCUGUGGGCUGAAUUCAGACAGAAAUCAGACAUAAUUUGUACUCUCUUGUAGCGGGAGUGAGCAGCUGCAGCUUUUUAAUUUACUUUUCGUUGUUUGAUUUGUUUCUUGGAUUGACUUGGUGUCUGGAGCUUUGUGGUUAACAGUGAUCAUGUAAACGUGUAAACACAAGUGGUCAUUUGCCUCUUAUUUGCGAAGCUGGCAGCUGGUUUGAAAUGAUAGGACUUUAUGGCUUGCCCAAAGUGGGAUUUGUGGUAGAGCAUAGGGUUAACAACUCACCAUACACUAGCUAUUUCAGCGAACAAGGGUCUGUAGUCCGAUAUUACCCAUGACUUUCAAUUUAGGCAGCUUGUAGAGUCAUUAGGAAGAUGCUUAAUCCCAAUGGCUUUGGUUGGUUGCAUGAGAAACUGUUAUCUCUUAGAUGUGUUGGCGAAGUUCCUCCUCUGAUUUUUGUAGACUUGCCCUAAAGUUUCUCUCUGCUUUAACUCUUGUUGAGCUAUGCAUUAAAUGAAUCCUCCAACUUGUCUCCAUAUCAAAUAUUUUUCUCCCUGCAGCCUUCCACCACCCACUGCUGCUGUUGCAUCUGCUAAAGGUAGCCGUAUCCUGAUUCACUGCGUCUUCAUGUGUUGGGUAAGAAGUGUCAUUAGAGUACUAACAAUGUAAACACCUUUUAAAUGCUUGAUCUAAUUUACCCAAAUGGUUCAUCAGUUUAGGACAGAAAAUCAUUGAAUUUGACAUUCUAGGGGUCAGUAACCUGACCUCUAAAUGUUUGGGAAACCAUGCAAAAGAUCGCAAGCUCUCUGCAUGACCCAACAGCAUCGAUGUUUGAGUUAUUUAAUUGCUCAAUUUUUAAAUCAGUCAAGAUUUUAUGAGCUGGGUCUUCUUCACACAACAGAGAACAAGGUAAAUUGAGUCGACUCGUAACAUGGUAAGGCAUUUCGUCUUUCCCCUUCUUCUCUGUGUGUGAGGAAAUCUGGCCACGGAUCCUGACUGAGUGGCAUACCAUGGCUGUGCAGUUUCCAAAAUCAGAUAAGGAUCCAUCUGAUUUUGUGACUCGGCCUGACAUGAUAUGCAUGUAUCUUCCUCCGAAACAAAGGAUUGGAAUGGACAGGUUUGUAGUGUAAAUCACAUCACUUGUAGAUGGUGAAGCAUUUGUUUAAAUUGGAGUCAAGCAUUUAUAGGUGUCUGCUUUGUCAAUACUCUGGUUCCACGUCUUGCUAAACACACGAGAAGCUCUGAAUUGUGAAACUGCUGCCUCUUGCAGAUGUUACAACAGCAAUGGCUGUUGAAAGGCGACAGGGAGAGAAAAUGAGAUCCGAGGACAGGAAAGUGGAAUUGAUUUCAUGCUUAACAAAAUGAGGGUUUCAGCAGAGGACAUUUUGUGGCGAGGCUACAGAAUCAGAAGGAACGUUUGUCUGGGCAACUGGGAGAUUUACAGUUUUUCAUGCAGCUAACCAAGACAUUGGGGUUAGCAUCAUCACAAGUGGCUGGCAAAGACUGCUUGUAACUGUCAGUGUAGGACAGGAGAGGCAGGUAUAGGUUAGGGAGGGCAUCCAUUGGUGAGCUCUGACUGGAUGUGAGGACCUGUCACACUUGACCUGAGAUGAAGGCUGCAGCACAUUCCUGGAUCAGAGGACUCCAUGUUGGACACCACGACCUGGAGAAGUCCCGUCCUGGAUGGCUGCGGUGAUGACCUAGCCCAAGAUGAACUGACCCUUCUACGACGAGGACUUCGCCCAAGAUGAACCGACCUUUUCCACGGGAUGUCUUCAGAUGUUGGACCUUGCCAAACUGUACACAUUCCUCAAUGGCUGCUUCGUCACUCUGCCCAACAGGACAUGGUCACCGAGAUUUUUUUUUAUAUGGACUUUAACCCCACCUGUUCCCACUGACCCACAACCACACAUGACAAAACACUAUGUGAUGCAUCACCACACUAAAAUACAGACACUGCUACUUUCAGCCUGUUUCAGUCUGUAAAAUAUCGCAAGCCCUCGGCAUGACCCAACAGCAUCGAUGUUUGAGUUAUUUAAUUGUUCAAUUUUUAAAUCAGUCAAGAUUUUAUGAGCUGGGUCUUCUUCACACAACAGAGAACAAGGUAAAUUGAGUCGACUCGUAACAUGGUAAGGCAUUUCGUCCUUCCCCUUAUUCUCUGUGUGUGAGGAAAUCUGGCCAUGGAUCCUGACUGAGUGGCAUACCAUGGCUGUGCAGUUUCCAAAAUCAGAUAAGGAUCCAUCUGAUUCUGUGACUCGGCCUGUCAUGAUAUGCAUGCAUCUUCCUCCGAAUCAAAGGAUUGGAGUGGACAGGUUUGUAGUGUAAAUCACAUCACUUGUAGAUGGUGAUGGUGUACAGACACUGGUACUUUCAGCCUGUAAUGUUAGACAUUGAAAACUUGUAUUUAUUGCCUUCUUUAUAUGAAGUAAAACUUUUGUUCUUAA
Long non-coding RNA from Solea solea (common sole), 5151 nucleotides. RefSeq lists it as uncharacterized. The transcript has 5 exons. NCBI's taxonomy places the organism in Eukaryota, Metazoa, Chordata, Actinopteri, Pleuronectiformes, Soleidae. The record is from RefSeq and is a predicted model, not a curated record.